RNAcentral lists this ribosomal RNA (597 nucleotides) under Paxillus involutus. RNAcentral's name for it is "partial 5.8S ribosomal RNA". The stretch from base 241 to 395 matches the Rfam family "5.8S ribosomal RNA". Lineage: Eukaryota; Fungi; Basidiomycota; Agaricomycetes; Boletales; Paxillaceae. The record is from RNAcentral.
UUGGUAGAUCGUAGGGAUUGUCGCUGGCCUUUGGAAACGAAGGCAUGUGCACGUUCCGAGUUCUCCUCAGUCCUCCUUUGCCUUUCCUUUGGACGACCUUUCUUCACACCCGUGCACCCAUUGUAGGUCUCCGCGAGGGGAUCUAUGUCUUCAUAAAACUCUACGUAUGUCUAGGAAUGUAUCUAAAGCGUCGACCGGCUUGGCUCGAUGCCUGGUCGGCGACGGUAAAGAACGAAAUACAACUUUCAGCAACGGAUCUCUUGGCUCUCGCAUCGAUGAAGAACGCAGCGAAUUGCGAUAAGUAAUGUGAAUUGCAGAUUUUCAGUGAAUCAUCGAAUCUUUGAACGCACCUUGCGCUCCUUGGUAUUCCGAGGAGCAUGCCUGUUUGAGUGUCAUUUAAUUCUCAACCAUCCCUCGAUUCGUUUCGAGGUUUGGCUUGGAUUUUGGGGGCUGCCGGGCGACCCUAGGGUCUUCGGCUCUCCUUAAAAGCAUUAGCGAUGGUGGAACGAUCUAACUCCAUGCAUGAACGGCCUUCGACGUGAUAAUGAUCGUCGUGGCUGGAGUGCUAGCGGACGUCGUGAAAUUGGCGCUUCUAAA